AGCUGAGCUAUCCCGACCAUUCGCAAUGCAGCAUCCCAUCCUCAUUUUAUUGGGAUGGCUGGGGUCUAUGUCAAUUAAAGGUCCAACUGGGCAUUACAAAGUUUUCUCCAAGUCCUGUAAUUUCUUGGAUCUUCAAAAAGAAAACUUUGUAAGUUUCAGUAUGAGUAAUGCUAUUGAUUGGGAAUCAUUCACAUAGGGAUUCCUUGCUAAAUUUGGAUGUGUAUUAUAUAUCACAUGUGAUAAGAAAAAGUCAUUUACGCCCAACUACAUUUGUCAAAGAAUCAGAAAGAUAAAAGAAUUUGUAACCGCUAAGAAAAAAAAAGGGGGGGUAGGAUAAAUAUUUUGGAAGUUAAAUAGACUUUUUUUGGGGAUAGAGGGACUUGAACCCUCACGAUUUUAAAAGUCGACGGAUUUUCCUCUUACUAGAAAUUUCAUUGUUGCCGGUAUUGGCAUGUAGAAUGGACUCUAUCUUUAUUCUCGUCCGAUUAAGCAAUUUUUUAAAAGAUCUAUCAGACUAUGGAGUGAAUGCUUUUCUGAAUGAAGAUUCGAUUCUUUCUUCAAUGUGGAAUCAAUUCACAUCAAUUCGUCCAUUUUUCCUAUAAAAAAAAAUAAAGAUAGAGACUUGGUGCAUCAUUAAUCUAUUGAUGUAGUAUUCAAUUCAGUUUAUCCUUCAUCCUUUCUGAAGUUUCGAUGGAAAGAUUCCUUUACCACUGCCACUGCAGCCAACUCCAUUUGUUAGAACAGCUUCCAUUGAGUCUCUGCACCUAUCCUAUCCCUUUUCGCUUUCUGGACCUUUGUAGGAUUUGGCUCAGGAUUGCCCAUCUUUGUUAAUUCCGGGGUUUCUCUGAAUUUGAAAGUUAUCACUUAGUAGGUUUCCAUAC
RNAcentral lists this unclassified non-coding RNA (881 nucleotides) under Byblis liniflora. Its description in RNAcentral is "partial contains tRNA-Leu (trnL) gene and trnL-trnF spacer region". Lineage: Eukaryota; Viridiplantae; Streptophyta; Magnoliopsida; Lamiales; Byblidaceae. The record is from RNAcentral.